RNAcentral lists this ribosomal RNA (428 nucleotides) under uncultured bacterium. RNAcentral's name for it is "partial 16S ribosomal RNA". It matches the Rfam family "Bacterial small subunit ribosomal RNA", at positions 354 to 796 of the family's 1533-position model. The record is from RNAcentral.
GUGAGGAAUAUUGGACAAUGGGCGCAAGCCUGACCCAGCAACGCCGCGUGAAGGAAGAAGGCUUUCGGGUUGUAAACUUCUUUUACCAGGGACGAAACAAAUGACGGUACCUGGUGAAUAAGCCACGGCUAACUACGUGCCAGCAGCCGCGGUAAUACGUAGGUGGCGAGCGUUAUCCGGAUUUAUUGGGUGUAAAGGGCGUGUAGGCGGGACAGCAAGUCAGAUGUGAAAACCAGAGGCUCAACCUCUGGCCUGCAUUUGAAACUGUUGUUCUUGAGUGUCGGAGAGGUAAUCGGAAUUCCGUGUGUAGCGGUGAAAUGCGUAGAUAUACGGAGGAACACCAGUGGCGAAGGCGGAUUACUGGACGAUAACUGACGCUGAGGCGCGAAAGCGUGGGGAGCAAACAGGAUUAGAUACCCGGGUAGUCC